CCCGCUGAACUUAAGCAUAUAACUAAGCGGAGGAAAAGAAACUAACAAGGAUUCCCUCAGUAACGGCGAGUGAAGCGGGAAUAGCUCAGACUGAAAACCUUCGGGAAUGUGGUCUGCAGAUGAGACAUCGAAUCUUCGGAAGCUGAUAAAGUGGUCUGGAAUGACCCGCCGUGGAGGGUGACAGCCCCGUUCGUAUCAGUGGAAAGAGUAAGUAGAUGCUUAUCAACGAGUCGAGUUGUUUGGGAUUGCAGCUCAAAGCGGGAGGUAAAUUCCUUCUAAAGCUAAAUAUCGAUAGGAGACCGAUAGCAAACAAGUACCGUGAGGGAAAGAUGAAAAGCACUUUGAAAAGAGAGUGAAAUAGUACGUGAAAUUGCUGAAAAGGAACCGCUGGGAAGCAGUGUGAUGGGCGUAGAUUUAUCUAUGCCAUAUCAAGUGAGGCUUGUUUCGAUGGCAAGGGAAAAGGUCUGUUCAUUCAGUCACCUGCCGAGCUUCGGAAUGACUCUCACGAAAUGCUUCUCAUCAACCCGUCUUGAAACACGG
Molecule: ribosomal RNA, 540 nt
Filed under: uncultured fungus
Lineage: Eukaryota; Fungi
Description: eukaryotic LSU rRNA
Rfam family: Eukaryotic large subunit ribosomal RNA
Source: RNAcentral